AUUGAACGCUGGCGGAAUGCUUUACACAUGCAAGUCGAACGGUAGAGGGGGCAACCCCUCGAGAGUGGCGAACGGGUGAGUAAUAUAUCGGAACGUGCCCAGUCGUGGGGGAUAACGUAGCGAAAGUUACGCUACUACCGCAUACGAUCUAAGGAUGAAAGCGGGGGAUCGCAAGACCUCGCGCGAUUUGAGCGGCCGAUAUCAGAUUAGGUAGUUGGUGGGGUAAAGGCUCACCAAGACAACGAUCUGUAGCUGGUCUGAGAGGACGACCAGCCACACUGGAACUGAGACACGGUCCAGACUCCUACGGGAGGCAGCAGUGGGGAAUUUUGGACAAUGGACGCAAGUCUGAUCCAGCCAUUCCGCGUGCAGGAUGAAGGCCCUCGGGUUGUAAACUGCUUUUGUACGGAACGAAAAGGUCUCUCUUAAUACGGGGGACUCAUGACGGUACCGUAAGAAUAAGCACCGGCUAACUACGUGCCAGCCGCCGCCGUAA
This 496-nucleotide ribosomal RNA is filed under the name uncultured bacterium. RNAcentral describes it as "partial 16S ribosomal RNA". It matches the Rfam family "Bacterial small subunit ribosomal RNA", at positions 30 to 523 of the family's 1533-position model. The record is from RNAcentral.